AGAGUUUGAUCCUGGCUCAGAACGAACGCUGGCGGCAGGCCUAAUACAUGCAAGUCGAGCGCGCCCUUCGGGGUGAGCGGCGGACGGGUUAGUAACGCGUGGGAACGUGCCCUUCUCUAAGGAAUAGCCACUGGAAACGGUGAGUAAUACCUUAUACGCCCCCCAAUCAAAUUCCAUUUGGUUGACGGAAAUUCUGUUGAAUGCCGGAUGGCAUUUGAUGGGGGGGAAAGAUUUAUCGGAGAAGGAUCGGCCCGCGUUAGAUUAGAUAGUUGGUGGGGUAAUGGCCUACCAAGUCUACGAUCUAUAGCUGGUUUUAGAGGAUGAUCAGCAACACUGGGACUGAGACACGGCCCAGACUCCUACGGGAGGCAGCAGUAGGGAAUCUUGGACAAUGGGCGCAAGCCUGAUCCAGCCAUGCCGCGUGAGUGAAGAAGGCCUUAGGGUCGUAAAGCUCUUUCGCCUGUGAUGAUAAUGACAGUAGCAGGUAAAGAAACCCCGGCUAACUCCGUGCCAGCAGCCGCGGUAAUACGGAGGGGGUUAGCGUUGUUCGGAAUUACUGGGCGUAAAGCGCGCGUAGGCGGAUUGGAAAGUUAGAGGUGAAAUCCCGGGGCUCAACCCCGGAACGGCCUUUAAAACUCCCAGUCUAGAGUUCGAGAGAGGUGAGUGGAAUUCCAAGUGUAGAGGUGAAAUUCGUAGAUAUUUGGAGGAACACCAGUGGCGAAGGCGGCUCACUGGCUCGAUACUGACGCUGAGGUGCGAAAGUGUGGGGAGCAAACAGGAUUAGAUACCCUGGUAGUCCACACCGUAAACGAUGAAUGCCAGUCGUCGGAUAGUAUACUAUUCGGUGACACACCUAACGGAUUAAGCAUUCCGCCUGGGGAGUACGGUCGCAGAUUAAAACUCAAAGGAAUUGACGG
This 917-nucleotide ribosomal RNA is filed under the name uncultured marine bacterium. RNAcentral describes it as "bacterial SSU rRNA". It matches the Rfam family "Bacterial small subunit ribosomal RNA", at positions 8 to 916 of the family's 1533-position model. The record is from RNAcentral.